ACAUUUUGAGGAACAUUUCUAAAGAUUUCCUGAGGCCUCUGAAGAGAUCUGAAGAUCUACAACCACCAAAAAUGGGCUGAUAUAUUUUGGAGAUUACAGCACGGUAGUGAACAGCUUUGGGUAUUGAAAGAUGGAGUUCGACUACCAGCUCUGUCAUUUACCAGCUUAGUGGCCGCAGCAGCAAUUUGUCUAAAUUUGGAGACUUUACCAAGGGGGCUGAUUCAACUAUAUUUCCAAAAGAGACCAAUGAUUGAUUCAGCUUCUGGCCCCAUUGGAUACUUGAACAGCGGAUGA
RNAcentral lists this long non-coding RNA (294 nucleotides) under Felis catus (domestic cat). Its description in RNAcentral is "lncRNA (ENSFCAG00000050647.1)". Lineage: Eukaryota; Metazoa; Chordata; Mammalia; Carnivora; Felidae. The record is from RNAcentral.